This 213-nucleotide ribosomal RNA is filed under the name uncultured bacterium. RNAcentral's name for it is "partial 16S ribosomal RNA". It matches the Rfam family "Bacterial small subunit ribosomal RNA", at positions 284 to 525 of the family's 1533-position model. The record is from RNAcentral.
UCGCCCGCCGCGCGCGGCGGGCGGGGCGGGGGCACGGGGGGCCUACGGGAGGCAGCAGUGAGGAAUCUUGGGCAAUGGGCGAAAGCCUGACCCAGCGACGUCGCGUGAGGGAAGAAGGCCUUCGGGUCGUAAACCUCUUUUGUGAGGGAAGAAGUUCUGACGGUACCUCACGAAUAAGCCACGGCUUACUACGUGCCAGCAGCCGCGGUAAUA